GUACGGGAGGCAGCAGUGGGGAAUAUUGCGCAAUGGGGGAAACCCUGACGCAGCGACGCCGCGUGGGUGAUGAAGGCCUUCGGGUCGUAAAGCCCUGUCGUAGGGGAAGAACUGGUGGACGGCUAAUACCCGUUCGCCUUGACGGUACCCUACAAGAAAGCACCGGCUAACUCCGUGCCAGCAGCCGCGGUAAUACGGAGGGUGCGAGCGUUGUUCGGAAUUACUGGGCGUAAAGCGCGUGCAGGCGGCCGACUAAGUCCGGUGUGAAAGCCCGGGGCUCACCCCCGGAAGUGCGCUGGAAACUGGUCGGCUAGAGUACGGGAGAGGGAAGCGGAAUUCCUGGUGUAGCGGUGAAAUGCGUAGAUAUCAGGAGGAACACCGGCGGCGAAGGCGGCUUCCUGGACCGAUACUGACGCUGAGACGCGAAAGCGUGGGGAGCAAACAGGAUUAGAUACCCCAGUAGUCG
Molecule: ribosomal RNA, 466 nt
Filed under: uncultured bacterium
Lineage: Bacteria
Description: bacterial SSU rRNA
Rfam family: Bacterial small subunit ribosomal RNA
Source: RNAcentral